GGCGAACGCUGGCGGCGUGCCUAAUACAUGCAAGUUGAGCGCUGAAGGUUGGUACUUGUACCAACUGGAUGAGCAGCGAACGGGUGAGUAACGCGUGGGGAAUCUGCCUUUGAGCGGGGGACAACAUUUGGAAACGAAUGCUAAUACCGCAUAAAAACUUUAAACACAAGUUUUAAGUUUGAAAGAUGCAAUUGCAUCACUCAAAGAUGAUCCCGCGUUGUAUUAGCUAGUUGGUGAGGUAAAGGCUCACCAAGGCGAUGAUACAUAGCUGACCUGAGAGGGUGAUCGGCCACAUUGGGACUGAGACACGGCCCAAACUCCUACGGGAGGCAGCAGUAGGGAAUCUUCGGCAAUGGACGAAAGUCUGACCGAGCAACGCCGCGUGAGUGAAGAAGGUUUUCGGAUCGUAAAACUCUGUUGGUAGAGAAGAACGUUGGUGAGAGUGGAAAGCUCAUCAAGUGACGGUAACUACCCAGAAAGGGACGGCUAACUACGUG
This 497-nucleotide ribosomal RNA is filed under the name uncultured bacterium. RNAcentral describes it as "partial 16S ribosomal RNA". It matches the Rfam family "Bacterial small subunit ribosomal RNA", at positions 28 to 507 of the family's 1533-position model. The record is from RNAcentral.